GUCAAGUAAGAAUACCCGCUGAACUUAAGCAUAUCAAUAAGCGGAGGAAAAGAAACUAACAAGGAUUCCCUCAGUAACGGCGAGUGAACCGGGAAAAGCUCAAAUUUAAAAUCGCCUGGGUUUACCUGAGUGAGUUGUAAUUUGAAGAAAGUGUUUCGACUUUUCGGGUUUGAUCCAAAUCCUUUGGGAUGAGGUAUCAUAGAGGGUGAGAAUCCCGUUCAUGAUUGAACCUGAGUUGUCAAUUGAUUCAUUUUCUAAGAGUCGAGUUGUUUGGGAUUGCAGCUCAAAAUGGGUGGUAAAUUUCACCUAAGGCUAAAUAUCUGCAAGAGACCGAUAGCGAACAAGUACCGUGAGGGAAAGAUGAAAAGAACUUUGAAAAGAGAGUUAAAAAGUACGUGAAAUUGUUGAAAGGGAAACGAUUGAAGUCAGUCAUGCUAGCGAGGAAUCAACUUGGUGGUGUGAGUCUCUCAUCUCCUCCGUGUGCACUUCCUCGUCUGGCAGGUUAGCAUCAAUUUUGAUUGUCAUCAAAUAAUUGGGGUAAUGUGGCUUCGCUUCGGUGGAGUGUUAUAGACCCUGGUGGAUGUGGCGAUUGGGAUUGAGGAUUGCAGCGGAUGCCUCUUGGGCUAGUCACCUGAUUCCUGGCUGUCACCUCGCUUUCGACAGCUUGCUGACGAUUGUGGGACUCGGCGGUCUAGAAGUUAGAGUGAUCUUAAAUUCGCUAAGGAUGCUGACGUAAUGGCUUUAAACGACCCGUCUUGAAACACGGACCAAGGAGUCUAACAUGUGUGCGAGUGUU
Molecule: ribosomal RNA, 796 nt
Filed under: uncultured Acaulosporaceae
Lineage: Eukaryota; Fungi; Glomeromycota; Glomeromycetes; Diversisporales; Acaulosporaceae
Description: eukaryotic LSU rRNA
Rfam family: Eukaryotic large subunit ribosomal RNA
Source: RNAcentral